ACGCUCGACACCUACGGGAGGCAGCAGUGGGGAAUAUUGCGCAAUGGGGGCAACCCUGACGCAGCAACGCCGCGUGAUUGAAGAAGGCCUUCGGUUGUAAAGAUCUUUAAUCAGGGACGAAAAAUGACGGUACCUGAAGAAUAAGCUCCGGCUAACUACGUGCAAGCAGCCGCGGUAAUCUGAGCGGGCUGGCAAGGC
RNAcentral lists this ribosomal RNA (198 nucleotides) under uncultured bacterium. RNAcentral describes it as "partial 16S ribosomal RNA". It matches the Rfam family "Bacterial small subunit ribosomal RNA", at positions 328 to 539 of the family's 1533-position model. The record is from RNAcentral.